CGCAGGCGGUGAGUUCAAGGGAGCUGAUGGCACGAACUACAUUGUGUUGAGAGUGUCUGAUGUGAUGGCCGAGCUCUCUUAAGUGUGCGGUUUAUUACUUUGUUUCAGUUUUGAGUUCACGAUAGAGGCUAGCAUGAGUGGUAAGAUUGCUAUGUGAUAACCACUUGAUGCUGUUUCGGAUAAUUAUAGAAUUGUAUGAGCAAACCUGUUGUCCGGGUUAAAAACAUUUACCGAAUUUCUUUACAAAGAGAGCUUGAUGCUGGUUUCCCCCUACUUCUGCAUUAUGUAUGUACAUUACUGCUUGGCUGAUUGCCUAUUGUUGUGGCACUAUCUAUGUGAAAGGGUCCUAGACAUCUAUCUUCCUGUGAGUGGGCUAAACAUUAAGCAAACCUGGAGGAUGUGGCUUAUCAGAAUGAUUGCUCAUUCUUCAGUGUUGAAUCUAGGCUGCUGGUUGCUCAGGAUGGUAGGAGAAUUUGCUGUAUAGGACAAAGGGGUCAGUAGCAGGUGUUGUUUAGUGGAGAGAUGAGGCAAUCUGUGACCUUUCGUCUGCUGCGGAGUAAGAGCGCAGCAGAGGAUGAUGCGUCUGAGGGGAGUAAAGAUGUGCAGUCCCCGUGACCUUGCCGCCAAAGAGUGCAUGUUGUAAUUCCAGCUAUUCAUAGAUAGUUCCUGGUGCCUUGUAUGCCUAUGCUAUCAAAUUCAAAUCCCCAGUGAACAGAGAAGCAACAAAUAAGACACUAGAUGUGAUUCAAAUCCCUAUGGAGAACAGAGAAGCCUUACUCCUUAUAAAAGAAUUGUGUGGCAGACUUGUUCCUUAUAAAGAGUUGCACGGUAGACAGUGGCCUGAACUCACCGGUCCUCUGGUAGGUCAAUGGCUAACAACCCUUUGGUUAUGAACUGGGUCCUCUGGUUGGUCGGUUGCUGUGAGCUUUAUAAAUCUUUUAUAAACAAAAUAAUGAAUGUCCUUACCCUUUUCCUUUUCCAAAAGGAUUAAUUUUGUUAAUCUGCUAACCUCUACUUAAGAUGGCGCACCUAUUUAUUUAUUACAAAUUUCACAAAAAAUAUAUCCAACAUUCUAUCGUCAAAGAAAAAACACCAGAUCAAGUAGAACCAACAUCUCAUAGAAACAAUCAUGUGGCGAUCACAAUGAUGCUAAUCUAGGAGUCACAUGAAGUACCCACUUAAAUUUAGUGGACCGGCUAGUUUGCACCAGAGGUGAAUGUUAUGCUAAUACUUCAAAAUACCCCUUUUUUAUGUAGACCUGAUCUCAAGUUGUAUAUUCAAAGUAUGUUGUGACUGAAGUUGAAUACAACAACUCCAAGCAUCUCAUUAUGAAAGAGGAUGACAUCAUUGGUAUUCUUGAAUCUGAUGAUGUCAAAGACAUGAAGCCUCUCAAUGACUGAGUUCUAAUCAAGGUAUUUAUAUCGAAUGUCAUGUCACUAAUCAGUAGCGUAUAUUUAAAUAAUUUCCAGUCAAUCUUGUAUUGGUUGUAUCUGCAUAAUGGUUAACAGUCCUAUCUGUCUUACAUUUGUGCUAGGUUGCCGAGGUUUCAGAUAAGGCCGAAGCUGGCCUUAUCCUCACCGAGACAACCAAGGAAAAGCCAUCCAUUCGAACAGUAAGUUAUUGCCAUUGGUUAAGAGUCUGCACUUUUUUUUCGACAAAGAAGAGUCUGCACUUAACUGGUACUCCCUCCGUUCGGAAUUACUUGUCACAGAAAUGGAUGUAUCUAGAUGUAUUUUAGUUCUAGAUACAUCCAUUUCCGAGACAAGUAAUUCCGAACGGAGGGAGUAGGUGUUAAACUAAUUCACCUCUUAAUGCAGGUUGUAGCUGUUGGUCCGGGCUCUCUCGACGAGGAAGGCAAGAGGUAGCCAUUGUCGUUGUCACCAGGUAGCACCGUGUUGUACUCCAAGUAUGCAGGCGGUGAGUUCAAGGGAGCUGAUGGCACGAACUACAUUGUGUUGAAAGUGUCUUAUGUGAUGGCUGAGCUCUCUUAAGUAUGCGGUUUAUUACUUUGUUUUAGUUUUGAGUUCACGAUAGAGGCAAGCAUGAGUGGUAAGAUUGCUAUGUGAUAACCACUUGAUGCUGUUUCGGAUGAUUAUAGAAUUGUACUCCCUCCGUCCGAAAAUACUUGUCAUCAAAAUGAAUAGAAGGGGAUGUAUCUAGAUGUAUAUUAGUUCUAGAUACAUCCCUUUUUAUCCAUUUUGAUGACAAGUAUUUUCGGACGGAGGGAGUAUGAGCAAACCUGUUGUCUGGGUUAAAAACAUUUACUGAAUUUGUUUACAAAGGGAGCUUUAUGCCUGUUUUCUCGUGCUUGGCUGAUUGCCUAUUGUUGUGGCACUAUCUAUGUGAAAGGGCCUAGACAUCUAUCUACCUGUGAGUGGGCUAAACAAUAAGCAAAGCUGGAGGAUUUGCCUUAUCAGAAUGAUUGCUCAUUCUUCAAUGUUGCUUCUUCGAACCAUCUAGCGACUAUGCAACCUUAUUUCCCUACGUGAACCAAAUCUAGGCUGCUGGUUGCUCAGGAUGGUAGGAGAAUUUGCUGUAUAGGACAGAGAGGUCAUGUACAUCUGAUGUUUAGCGGAUAGAUGAGGCGAGAUGAGACCCUCUGUCAGCAGCAGAGGAAGAGGGUGAGCACCUUUCAAAGCAUUUGAGUAAGAGGAUGGUGCGAUUCAGCGGAGUAAGAUGUUGAGGCCCAACGGCCUUGCAACAAGUGAGUGCAUGUUGUAAUUCCAACUAUUCAUAGAUAAUUCCUGGUUCCUUCCAUGCCUAUGCUAUCAAAUCAAAUCCCUGGUGAACAGAGAAGCAACAAAUAAUACACCAAAUGUGAUUCAAAUCCCUAUGGAGAACAGAGAAGCCUUGCUCCUUAUGAAAGAGUUGUGUGGCAGACUUGUUCCUUAUAAAGAGUUGCGCGCUAGACAGCGGCGUGAAGUCAUCAGUCCUCUGGUAGGUCAAUGGCUCACAAUCCUUUGGUUAUGAACUAGGUCCUCUGGUUGGUCAGCCGCUGUGAGCUUUAUAAAUUCCUUUUAAAAAAAUGAUGAAUUUUCUCGAAAGUACUCUUUUGCUCUCGAGCUCAGAUGAGCUUGGAUGAACAGUAAAAUAAAUAAAAAAUCAAAGCAUUCCUAUUUGUGAAAGGUGCAACAAAAAAAAUCAAUGCUCUAAAAUGCUUUCUAAAGUACCAUUUUGGAUAAUGUAACAUCAACUGAUUCAGUUUCCUUUUUGUGGGUGAAGACUCAGUUAAUCCAGCGAAACUUCAAAGGGGUGGACUAAUGAGAUCUUUCUGUCUAUCUGCUCAAGGUGUAACCGGAACCUUGGGUGAGAUGGGGAUCAGGGAGGUGGCUGCGCUAUAGCCUCGAGACACCGGGCACUGAGCGUAAUUAAUUUUCUAUUGAGCGUAAAACCAAACAUAAUUUGAGGUAAUUUGUUACAAACUGACCAACCAAACACAUAUAUGUAUUCUUGAAUCUGAUGGUGUCAAAGACAUGAAGCCUCUCAAUGACUGGGUUCUCAUCAAGGUAUUUAUAUCGAUUGUCAUGUCACUAAUCAGUAGCUUAUAUUGAAGGGAUUUCCAGUCGAUCUUGUACUGGUUGCAUGUGUAUAACGAUUAACAAAGCUUAUCUGUCCUGCAUUUGUACUAGGUUGCUGAGGCUUUAGAUAAGAGUGCAGCUGGUCACCUAGAUAACCAAGGAGAAGACAUCCAUUGGAAUAGUAAAUUAUCACCAUUGUUAGAGUCUGUGCCAAACUAGUACUCCCUUUCGUAAACUAAUAUAAGAGCGUUUAGAUUAUUAUUUUAGUGAUCUAAACGCUCUUAUAUUAAUUACAGAGGGAGUAGGUGUUUAACCAGUUCGCCUCUUAAUGCAGGUCGUAGCUGUUGGUCCGUGCUCAAUCGACGAUGAAGGCAAGAGGCAGCCACUGUAGGUGUCACCAGGCAGCACUGUGAUGUACUCCAAGUAUGCAGGCGACGAGUUCAAGGGCACUGAUGGCACAAACUACAUUGUGUUGAGAGUGCAGAUGUGAUGGCCGAGCUCUCUUAAAUGUGCGGUUUGUUACUUUGUUUCAGUUUUGUGUUCAUAAUGGAGGCGAGCAUGAGGGUUGAGAUUGCUCUGUGGUAAUCGCUUGAUGCUAUUUCGGAUGGUUAUAGAAUUGUAUGAGCAAACCACUUGUCCGGGUUAAAAACAUUUACCGAAUAUGUUUACAAAGUUAGUUUGAUGCCUGUUUCCCCCUACUUAUACAUUAUGUAUGUACAUUAGUGCUUAGCUGAUUGCCGAUUGUUGUGGCAUUACUUCUGUGGAAGGUUCCUAGGCAUCUCUCUUCCAGUGAGCGAGCUAAAAAGUGAGAAAGCCUAGAGGAUCUGGUCUUUAGGCAAGUCUGAUUGCUCAUUCUUUAAUGUUGCUUCUUUAAAUUAUCUAGGGACCAAAUAUAUGCCGCUGGUUACUCAGGAUGGCAGGAGAAUUUGCCGUAUAGGACAGCGUCAUGAUGUUGAACUGAUGUUUAGCGGUGAGACGAGGCAAACUGGGACCUUUGGUCAGCAGCAGAGUAAUAAGACGCCGACCUUUUGAAGCAGAAGAGUAGGUGGAUGAUGGAGGUCAGCGGAGUAAGAUGUGGAGGUCGAGCACCAUUGCGACCAGCGAAUGCAUGUUGUAAUUCUAGCUACUCAUGGGUAAUUCCUGGUGCCUUCUAUGCCUAUGCUAUCAAAUUGAAAUCUCUAGUGAAUAGAGAAGCAACAAAUAAUACACUAAAUGUGAUUCAAAUACAUGAAAUGAGUUAUCCCUAAGGGGAGCUUUGCUCCUUAUAAAGGAGUUGUGUGGCAGACUUGCUCCUUGUAAAGAGUUGUGCCGUAGAUGGUGGUGUGAAGUCAUCAGUCCUCCGGUAGAUCAAUUGCUAAAAAUCCUUUGGUUAUGAAUUGGGUCCUCUGGUUGGUCAGCCGUUGCGAACUUUAUAUAGAUCUUUUAAACAAAACAAUCAACUUAUUUGCCUUUGUUUUUCAAAAGGAUUAAUUCUGUUAAGCUUGCAACCUCUACUUCAAGAUGACACACCUAGACAACAAAUUAUUUAUUACAAAGUUCGCAAAAAAUUUAGCCCAACAUCAAAAGAUAAAACACCUGCUUAAUUAGAACCAACAUCUCAUAGAGUGACACUAAUUUGGGAGUCAUGAAGGAUCCGUUUAAAAUUAUAAAAUUAAUGGAGCAGCUACUUUGCACUAAAGCUUAUGUUAGAGGUGAAUCCUAUGCUAAUACUUCAAAAUACCCAGCUUGGACAGACGUUGAAUACAACAACUCUAAGCAUCUCAUUAUGAAAGAGGAUGGGAUCGUAGGUCUUCUUGAAUCUGAUGAUGUCAAAGACAUGAAGCCUCUCAAUGACCGGGUGGUGAUCAAGGUAUUUAUAUCUAAUGUCGUGUAACUAAACUAUACUAGUGUAUAUUUCAAGAAUUUUCAGUCAAGCUUGUACUGGUCAUGCCUACCGGUUAACAAUGCUUAUCUAUCUUGCAUUUGUGCUAGGUUGCAGAGGCUUCGAACAAGACUGAAGCUGGUCUUAUCCUCACCGAGACAACCAAGGAGAAGCCAUCCAUUGCAACAGUAAGUUAAUUAUCAUUAGGUAGAAAUCCAUGUUGAACUAGCAGGUGUUUAACUGAUUCACAUCUAAAUGCAGGUCAUAGCUGUUGGUCCGGGCACUCUCGACGAGGAAGGCAAGAGGCAGUCCCAUUGUCGGUGUUACGAGGUAGCACCGUGCUGUACUCCAAGUACGCAGGCCGUGAGUUCAAGGAAGCUGAUGGCACGAACUACAUUGUGUUGAGAGUGUCGGAUGUGACAGCUGAGCUCUCUUAAAUGUGUGGUUUAUUACUUUGUUUCAGUUUGAGUUCAUGAUAGAGGCUAGCAUGAGUGGUAAGCUUGCUAUGUGAUAACCACUUGAUGCUAUUUCGGAUGGUUGUAGAAUUGUAUAAGCAAACCUGUUGUCCGGGUUAAAAACAUUUACUGAUUUUUUUAGAAAGGAAGCCUGAUGCAUGUUUUCCCCUACUUCUACAUUAUGUAUUUACAUUAAUGCUUGGCUGAUGGCCUGAUUUUUGUAGCGAUAUGAUGAUUUACAAUAAUAUAGUCAUGUUAUUGAACUUUACUUCUAUGAAGUGUUCCUUGUGAUUGCAUAUUGUUACAGACAUUUAUCAUCCUAUCAGUGGGCUAAAAAGUUAGCACUUCUGGAGGAUCGGGCCUGUAGGUGAGCUAGGAGGAUCUGAGCUGCACUCAGGCCUAUGAUGCGCCUCAGGGGAGUAACAUCUGGAGGCCCCAUGACCUUGACGCUAGAGAAUGCAUGUUGUAAUUCCAGUUAUUCAUAGAUAAUUCCUGGUGCCUUCUAUGCCUAUGCUAUAAAAUUCAAAUCCCUAGUGAAUAGAGAAGUGACAAAUAAUACACUAGAUGUGAUUCAAAUCCCUAUGGAGAACAGAGAAGCCUUACUCCUUAUGAAAGAGUUGUGUGGCAGACUUGUUCCUUAUAAAGAGUUGCGCGGUAGACAACGGCGUGAAGUCAUCAGUCCUCUGGUAGGUAAAUGGCUAACAAUCGUUCGGUUAUGAACUGGGUCCUCUGGUUGGUCAGCCGUUGUGAGAUUUAUAAAUCUUUUAAACAAAAUGAUGAAUUUCCUCGAAAGUAUCCUUCUGUGCUCGAGCUCAAGUGAGCUCAGAUGAACAGUAAAAUCGAAAAGAAAUUCAAAACGUUCUGAAAACUUUUUGGUGGUAAACUUUAACAAAUGUUAUAAGUGUUUGUAGAUUUUCGUCAUGAGAUCACAAUCGUGAAAGGCGUGGCAAAAAAAAAA
This 6792-nucleotide long non-coding RNA is filed under the name Triticum aestivum (bread wheat). RNAcentral's name for it is "long non-coding RNA (TAES_LNC015784)". The stretch from base 2100 to 2234 matches the Rfam family "MIR1120/MIR1122 microRNA precursor family". Lineage: Eukaryota; Viridiplantae; Streptophyta; Magnoliopsida; Poales; Poaceae. The record is from RNAcentral.